Molecule: ribosomal RNA, 620 nt
Filed under: uncultured bacterium
Lineage: Bacteria
Description: bacterial SSU rRNA
Rfam family: Bacterial small subunit ribosomal RNA
Source: RNAcentral
UAGAGUUUGAUCAUGGCUCAGAUUGAACGCUGGCGGCAGGCCUAACACAUGCAAGUCGAGCGGCAGCACAGGGGAACUUGUUCCCUGGGUGGCGAGCGGCGGACGGGUGAGUAAUGGCUGGGAACCUGCCCUGAUGUGGGGGAUAACAGUUGGAAACGACUGCUAAUACCGCAUGAUGUCUACGGACCAAAGAGGAGGACCUUCGGGCUUCUCGCGUCAGGAUGGGCCCAGUUGGGAUUAGCUAGUUGGUAGGGUAAUGGCCUACCAAGGCGACGAUCCCUAGCUGGUUUGAGAGGAUGAUCAGCCACACUGGAACUGAGACACGGUCCAGACUCCUACGGGAGGCAGCAGUGGGGAAUAUUGCACAAUGGGCGCAAGCCUGAUGCAGCCAUGCCGCGUGUGUGAAGAAGGCCUUCGGGUUGUAAAGCACUUUCAGCAGUGAGGAAGGUGGUGUAGUUAAUACCUGCAUCAUUUGACGUUAGCUGCAGAAGAAGCACCGGCUAACUCCGUGCCAGCAGCCGCGGUAAUACGGAGGGUGCGAGCGUUAAUCGGAAUUACUGGGCGUAAAGCGCAUGCAGGCGGUCUGUUAAGCAAGAUGUGAAAGCCCCGGGCUUAACCUG